Molecule: long non-coding RNA, 219 nt
Filed under: Phoenix dactylifera (date palm)
Lineage: Eukaryota; Viridiplantae; Streptophyta; Magnoliopsida; Arecales; Arecaceae
Description: long non-coding RNA (PDAC_LNC011670)
Source: RNAcentral
CAGCCAGGAUGCAAGCCGAGAUCGCGUGCCAGCAGCCCACCUUCCGCUCCUUCCCAGCAACCAAAGAAGGAAGUUCUCACCGUGCCAGCAACGCCCGGAAUCCCAUCGUCCCGAAUCCACGCAUCCCAGCUCAUCCCACGCGCUUCCUUCCUUCCGCGACUGGUCCACCAUCCACCGAGGCCAAGAUCGGCUCCUCCCGAGAUCUCGCAGCCGGCCGUG